GAUGAACGCUGGCGGCGUGCCUAAUACAUGCAAGUCGAGCGAACAGACGAGGAGCUUGCUCCUCUGACGUUAGCGGCGGACGGGUGAGUAACACGUGGAUAACCUACCUAUAAGACUGGGAUAACUUCGGGAAACCGGAGCUAAUACCGGAUAAUAUAUUGAACCGCAUGGUUCAAUAGUGAAAGACGGUUUUGCUGCCACUUAUAGAUGGAUCCGCGCCGCAUUAGCUAGUUGGUAAGGUAACGGCUUACCAAGGCAACGAUGCGUAGCCGACCUGAGAGGGUGAUCGGCCACACUGGAACGGAGAAACGGUCCAGCCUCCUAGGGGAGGCAGCAGUAGGAAAUCUUCCGCAAUGGGCGAAAGCCUGACGGAGCAACGCCGGGGGAGGGAUGAAGGGCUUCGGAUCGUAAAACGCUGUUAUUGGGGAAAAAAAAAUGUGUAAGUAACUAUGCACGUUUUGACGGUACCUAAUAAGAAAGCCACGGCUAACUACGU
RNAcentral lists this ribosomal RNA (496 nucleotides) under uncultured bacterium. Its description in RNAcentral is "partial 16S ribosomal RNA". It matches the Rfam family "Bacterial small subunit ribosomal RNA", at positions 28 to 506 of the family's 1533-position model. The record is from RNAcentral.